UUCUCACAGCACAAUUGAUUUCCGUGCGUCCGCUGUUCUGCUUACCAGGGCUGCCUUAGAAGCAGCUUUAAUGUGACGGGAGAGAGAAUUUAAAUGAAAAAGACAUGAAGAGAUGAAAAAGGUCAGCGCUUUGAAAAUAUGCCUCCAUAAAGGAUUUGCGCAGCCAUUGGAGAGGAGAGAUGUUGUAAUAGAUUAAGAAAAAAUGAAGAUAGGAGGAGCAACAAGAAGAAGAAGGCACGGAAGAAACACUGAGAUGACACAUGGAAGGAUUGAUAUAUUAAACAUUUGUUUGUG
Ahaetulla prasina is the source of this 294-nucleotide long non-coding RNA. RefSeq lists it as uncharacterized. NCBI's taxonomy places the organism in Eukaryota, Metazoa, Chordata, Lepidosauria, Squamata, Colubridae. The transcript is spliced from 3 exons. The record is from RefSeq and is a predicted model, not a curated record.